This 74-nucleotide transfer RNA is filed under the name Nocardioidaceae bacterium. Its description in RNAcentral is "tRNA-Arg". It matches the Rfam family "tRNA". Rfam says of the family: Transfer RNA (tRNA) molecules are approximately 80 nucleotides in length. Their secondary structure includes four short double-helical elements and three loops (D, anti-codon, and T loops). RNAcentral also lists the same sequence under 3 other names. Lineage: Bacteria; Bacillati; Actinomycetota; Actinomycetes; Propionibacteriales; Nocardioidaceae. The record is from RNAcentral.
GCGCUCGUAGCUCAGCUGGAUAGAGCAGUGGACUUCUAAUCCACCGGUCGCAGGUUCGAAUCCUGCCGGGCGCA